Non-coding RNA from Acanthosepion pharaonis, 115 nucleotides. Lineage: Eukaryota; Metazoa; Mollusca; Cephalopoda; Sepiida; Sepiidae. The record is from the annotation of a GenBank genome assembly.
UUACGGCCAUAUCACGUUGAAACACCAGUUCUCUUUAUAAUCACCGACGUUUAGCAACGGCGAGCCUGGUCAGUACUUAGAUGGGUGACCGAUUAGGCAUACCAGGUGCUGUAAG